UAGCGCCUGGAAACAGGUUAAUGGCACAGUCAUAUGCUCUGUGGGGAGGCAAUACAUCGGAUUGAGCCUUGUUAAACACCUCCUGAAGUUCUCGGUAUUGUAUGGGAACUCCAGGAGUUUGGGGAGUGGUAGUGGGAAGGUCAAUAGUAUCCAAUUUCUUUAGUAAUGGUUUUAUACAUCUCCCCAUACACUCUUUACCCCAUUCUAAUAUCUCCC
Pelobates cultripes (western spadefoot toad) is the source of this 216-nucleotide non-coding RNA. NCBI's taxonomy places the organism in Eukaryota, Metazoa, Chordata, Amphibia, Anura, Pelobatidae. The record is from the annotation of a GenBank genome assembly.